AUUGAACGCUGGCGGCAGGCCUAACACAUGCAAGUCGAGCGAGCGGCGGACGGGUGAGUAAUGUCUGGGAAACUGCCUGAUGGAGGGGGAUAACUACUGGAAACGGUAGCUAAUACCGCAUACCAUCAGAUGGGCCCAGGUGGGAUUAGCUAGUAGGUGGGGUAACGGCUCACCUAGGCGACGAUCCCUAGCUGGUCUGAGCGGAUGACCAGCAAAACUGGAACUGAGACACGGUCCAGACUCCUACGGGAGGCAGCAGUGGGGAAUAUUGCAAAAUGGGCGCAAGCCGGAUGCAGCCAUGCCGCGUGUGUGAAGAAGGCCUGCGGGUUGUAAAGCACGUUCAGCGGGGAGGCGUUACCCGCAGAAGAAGCACCGGCUAACUCCGUGCCAGCAGCCGCGGUAAUAC
Molecule: ribosomal RNA, 406 nt
Filed under: uncultured bacterium
Lineage: Bacteria
Description: partial 16S ribosomal RNA
Rfam family: Bacterial small subunit ribosomal RNA
Source: RNAcentral